GAUGAACGCUGGCGGCGUGCCUAACACAUGCAAGUCGAACGGACAGGUCCUGCUUUUGUGCCGUGCUCGAGUGGCGAACGGGUGAGUAACACGUGUGUAACCUGCCCUUGACUUUGGGAUAACUUCUGGAAACUGGGGCUAAUACCGGAUAGGAGCUCCUGCUGCAUGGUGUGCAUUGGAAAGUUUCGGCGGUUCUGGAUGUUCUCGCGGCAUAUCCGCUUCUUUGUGAGGUAGUGGCUUACCACGGCUUUGACGGGUAGCCGGCCUGGGAGGGUGACCGGCCACAUUGGGACUGAGAUACGGCCCAGACGCCAACGGGAGGCAGCAGUGGAGAAUAUUGCAGAAUAGGCGGAAGCCUGAUGCAACGACGUCGGGUGCGGGAUGACGGCUUUCGGGGUGAAAACAGCUUUGUCCGUAGACGAAGCGGUAGUGACGGUAAUGAAUAAGAAAGCACCGGCUAACUACGUG
This 468-nucleotide ribosomal RNA is filed under the name uncultured bacterium. Its description in RNAcentral is "partial 16S ribosomal RNA". It matches the Rfam family "Bacterial small subunit ribosomal RNA", at positions 28 to 507 of the family's 1533-position model. The record is from RNAcentral.